Molecule: unclassified non-coding RNA, 377 nt
Filed under: uncultured fungus
Lineage: Eukaryota; Fungi
Description: partial contains 5.8S ribosomal RNA and internal transcribed spacer 2
Rfam family: 5.8S ribosomal RNA (bases 1-133)
Source: RNAcentral
UGGCUCUCGCAUCGAUGAAGAACGCAGCGAAAUGCGAUAAGUAAUGUGAAUUGCAGAAUUCAGUGAAUCAUCGAAUCUUUGAACGCACCUUGCGCCCUUUGGUAUUCCGUAGGGCAUGCCUGUUUGAGUGUCAUUAAAUUAUCAACUCUCAGAUCUUUUUCCGAGAGCUUGGACUUGGAGUGUGCUGGACGGUCAACGGUCAGCUCCUCUUGAAAUGUAUAUGCGGAACCCUGCCGAUCAGCUCCAGCGUGAUAAUUAUCAACGUUGCCGCUCGUGAAGGCGUUCGGAUCUGCCUAAAACGGUCGCAUGUAUGCGCGACAAGGGGCUUAAACACCCGAUGACAAUUUGACCUCAAAUCAGGUAGGAUUACCCGCUGA